ACAAUCAGGAAGCCCGUAAACCCCAAAUAUUUUUUUUUUCAUUUUCCAUUUUUUUUUUGGUCUAACUAACUCCAAAAGGUUGGAAAAGAGUUCCUACAAAGGUUUUGGACAGUGAUUUUAACCCUAACGCCAAAAAACUUAAACCUUACCAUAGCCCCAUAACCUAAUACCCGGGUAUUACUUUUAGGAAGCCUGAACACCCCAAAUAUUUUUUUUUCAUUUUUCUUUUUUUUUUUGGUCUAACUAACUCCAAAAGGUUGAAAAAGAGUUCCUACAAAGGUUUUGGACAGUGAUUUUAAACCUAACGCCAAAACGUUAAACCUUACCAUAGCCCCAUAACCUAAUACGUAUUACUUUUGGGAAGCCUGAACACCCCAAAUAUUUUUUUUUCAUUUUUCUUUUUUUUUUUUUUGGUCUAACUAACUCCAAAAGGUUGGAAAAGAGUUCCUACAAAGGUUUUGGACAGUGAUUUUAACCCUAACGCCAAAAAACUUAAACCUUCCCAUAGCCACAAAACCUAAUACCUGGGUAUUACUUUUAGGAAGCCUGAAAACCCCCAAUAAUAUUUUUUUCUUUUUUCAUAUUUUUUGGUCUAACUAACUCCAAAAGGUUGGAAAAGAGUUCCUACAAAGGUUUUGGACAGUGAUUUUAACCCUAAUGCCAAACCCUUAAACCUUUCCCUAGUCCCAAAACCUAAUACCCGGGUAUUACUUUCAGGGAGCCCGAAAAACCCCCAAUAAUAUUUUUUUCUUUUUUCAUAUUUUUUGGUCUAACUAACUCCAAAAGGUUGGAAAAGAGUUCCUACAAAGGUUUUGGACAGUGAUUUUAACCCUAACGCCAAAAACCUUAAACCUUACCCUAGCCUUGAAAUCUAAUACCCGGGUAUUACCUUCAGGAAGCCUGAACACCCCAAAUAUUUUUUUCUUCAUUUUACAUUUUUUUUGGUCUAACUAAAUCCAAAAGGUUGUUAAAGAGUUCCUACAAAGGUUUUGGACAGUGAUUUUAAACCUAACGCCAAAAAACUUAAACCUUACCCUAGCCCCAAAACCUAAUACCCGGGUAUUACUUUCAGGGAGCCCGAAAACCCCCAAUAAUAUUUUUUUCUUUUUUCAUACUUUUUGGUGUAACUAACUCCAAAAGGUUGGAAAAGAGUUCCUACAAAGGUUUUGGACAGUGAUUUUAACCCUAAUGCCAAAAAACUUAAACCUUACCCUAGCCUCAAAAUCUAAUACCCGGGUAUUACAUUCAGGAACCCCGAAAACCCCAAAUAUUGUUUUUUAAUUUUUCAUUUUUUUUUGGUCUAACUAACUCCAAAAGGUUGGAAAAGAGUUCCUACAAAGGUUUUGGACAGUGAUUUUAACCCUAACGCCAAAAAACUUAAACCUUACCAUAGCCCCAAAACCUAAUACCCGGGUAUUACUUUCAGGGAGCCCGAAAACCCCCAAUAAUAUUUUUUUCUUUUUUCAUACUUUUUGGUCUAACUAACUCCAAAAGGUUGGAAAAGAGUUCCUACAAAGGUUUUGGACAGUGAUUUGAACCCUAAUGCCAAAAAACUUAAACCUUACCCUAGCCUUAAAAUCUAAUACCCGGGUAUUACAUUCAGGAACCCCGAAAACCCCAAAUAUUGUUUUUUCAUUUUUCAUUUUUUUUUUGGUCUAACUAACUCCAAAAGGUUGGAAAAGAGUUCCUACAAAGGUUUUGGACAGUGAUUUUAACCCUAACGCCAAAAAACUUAAACCUUACCAUAGCCCCAAAACCUAAUACCCGGGUAUUACUUUCAGGGAGCCCGAAAACCCCCAAUAAUAUUUUUUUCUUUUUUCAUAUUUUUUGUUCUAACUAACUCCAAAAGGUUGGAAAAGAGUUCCUACAAAGGUUUUGGACAGUGAUUUUAACCCUAACGCCAAAAAACUUAAACCUUACCAUAGCCCCAAAACCUAAUACCCGGGUAUUACUUUCAGGAAGCCCGGAAACCCCAAAUAUAUAUUUUUUCAUUUUUCAUAUUUUUUUGGUUUAUCUAAUUCCAAAAGGUUGGAAAAGUGUUCCUACAAAGGUUUUGGACAGGGAUUUUAACCCUUAUGCCAAAAACCUUAAACCUUUCCCCAGUCCCAAAACCUAAUACCUGGGUAUUACCUUCAGGAAGCCCGAAAACCCCCAAUAAUAUUUUUUUCUUUUUUCAUAUUUUUUGGUCUAACUAACUCCAAAAGGUUGGAAAAGAGUUCCUACAAAGGUUUUGGACAGUGAUUUUAACCCUAACGCCAAAAAACUUAAACCUUACCAUAGCCCCAAAACCUAAUACCCGGGUAUUACUUUCAGGGAGCCCGAAAACCCCCAAUAAUAUUUUUUUCUUUUUUCAUAUUUUUUGGUCUAACUAACUCCAAAAGGUUGGAAAAGAGUUCCUACAAAGGUUUUGGACAGUGAUUUUAACCCUAACGCCAAAAAACUUAAACCUUUCCCUGGCCUUAAAAUCUAAUACCCGGGUAUUACAUUCAGGAAGCCCGUAAACCCCAAAUAUUUUUUUUUUCAUUUUUCAUAUUUUUUUGGUCUAACUAACUCCAAAAGGUUGAAAAGAGUUCCUACAAAGGUUUUGGACAGUGAUUUUAACCCUAACGCCAAAAACCUUAAACCUUACCAUAGCCCCAUAACCUAAUACCCAGGUAUUACUUUUAGGAAGCCUGAACACCCAAAAUAUAUUUUUUUCAUUUUUCAUUUUUUUUGGUCUAACUAACUCCAAAAGGUUGGAAAAGAGUUCCUACAAAGGUUUUGGACAGUGAUUUUAACCCUAACGCCAAAACGUUAAACCUUACCAUAGCCCCAUAACCUAAUACCCGGGUAUUACUUUCAGGAAGCCUGAACACCCCAAAUAUUUUUUUUUCUUUUUUCAUACUUUUUGGUCUAACUAACUCCAAAAGGUUGGAAAAGAGUUCCUACAAAGGUUUUGGACAGUGAUUUUAACCCUAACGCCAAAAAACUUAAACCUUACCCUAGCCUUAAAAUCCUAAUACCAGGGUAUUACAUUCAGGAAGCCCGAAAACCCCAAAUAUUUUUUUUCAUUUUUCUUUUUUUUUUUGGUCUAACUAACUCCAAAAGGUUGGAAAAGAGUUCCUACAAAGGUUUUGGACAGUGAUUUUAACCCUAACGCCAAAAAACUUAAACCUUACCAUAGCCCCAAAACCUAAUACCCGGGUAUUACUUUCAGGAAGCCCGAAAACCCCCAAUAAUAUUUUUUUCUUUUUUCAUAUUUUUUGGUCUAACUAACUCCAAAAGGUUGGAAAAGAGUUCCUACAAAGGUUUUGGACAGUGAUUUUAACCCUAACGCCAAAAAACUUAAACCUUUCCCUAGCCUUAAAAUCUAAUACCCGGGUAUUACAUUCAGGAAGCCCGUAUACCCCAAAUAUUUUUUUUUUCAUUUUUCAUUUUUUUUUCUGGUCUAACUAACUCCAAAAGGUUGAAUAAGAGUUCCUACAAAGGUUUUGGACAGUGAUUUUAAACCUAACGCCAAAACGUUAAACCUUACCAUAGCCCCAUAACCUAAUACCCGGGUAUUACUUUUAGGAAGCCUGAACACCCCAAAUAUUUUUUUUUCAUUUUUCUUUUUUUUUUGGUCUAACUAACUCCAAAAGGUUGGAAAAGAGUUCCUACAAAGGUUUUGGACAGUGAUUUUAACCCUAAUGCCAAAACCCUUAAACCUUUCCCUAGUCCCAAAACCUAAUACACGGGUAUUACUUUCAGGAGCCCAAAAACCCCCAAUAAUAUUUUUUUCUUUUUUCAUAUUUUUUGGUCUAACUAACUCCAAAAGGUUGGAAAAGAGUUCCUACAAAGGUUUUGGACAGUGAUUUUAACCCUAACGCCAAAAACCUUAAACCUUACCCUAGCCUUGAAAUCUAAUACCCGGGUAUUACCUUCAGGAAGCCUGAACACCCCAAAUAUUUUUUUCUUCAUUUUACAUUUUUGUUGGUCUAACUAACUCCAAAAGGUUGGAAAAGAGUUCCUACAAAGGUUUUGGACAGUGAUUUUAACCCUAACGCCAAAAAACUUAAACCUUACCCUAGCCCCAAAACCUAAUACCCGGGUAUUACUUUCAGGGAGCCCGAAAACCCCCAAUAAUAUUUUUUUCUUUUUUCAUACUUUUUGGUCUAACUAACUCCAAAAGGUUGGAAAAGAGUUCCUACAAAGGUUUUGGACAGUGAUUUUAACCCUAACGCCAAAAAACUUAAACCUUACCCUAGCCUUGAAAUCUAAUACCCGGGUAUUACAUUCAGGAACCCCGAAAACCCCAAAUAUUGUUUUUUCAUUUUUCAUUUUUUUUUGGUCUAACUAACUCCAAAAGGUUGGAAAAGAGUUCCUACAAAGGUUUUGGACAGUGAUUUUAACCCUAACGCCAAAAAACUUAAACCUUACCAUAGCCCCAAAACCUAAUACCCGGGUAUUACUUUCAGGAAGCCCGGAAAACCCCAAAUAUAUAUUUUUUCAUUUUUCAUAUUUUUUGGUCUAACUAACUCCAAAAGGUUGGAAAAGAGUUCCUACAAAGGUUUUGGACAGUGAUUUUAACCCUAACGCCAAAAACCUUAAACCUUUCCCCAGUCCCAAAACCUAAUACCUGGGUAUUACCUUCAGGAAGCCCUGAAACCCCCAAUAAUAUUUUUUUCUUUUUUCAUAUUUUUUGGUCUAACUAACUCCAAAAGGUUGGAAAAGAGUUCCUACAAAGGUUUUGGACAGUGAUUUUAACCCUAACGCCAAAAAACUUAAACCUUACCAUAGCCCCAAAACCUAAUACCCGGGUAUUACUUUCAGGGAGCCCGAAAACCCCCAAUAAUAUUUUUUUUUCUUUUUUCAUACUUUUUGGUCUAACUAACUCCAAAAGGUUGGAAAAGAGUUCCUACAAAGGUUUUGGACAGUGAUUUUAACCCUAACGCAAAAAAACUUAAACCUUUCCCUGGCCUUAAAAUCUAAUACCCGGGUAUUACAUUCAGGAAGCCCGUAAACCCCAAAUAUUUUUUUUUUCAUUUUUCAUUUUUUUUUGGUCUAACUAACUCCAAAAGGUUGGAAAAGAGUUCCUACAAAGGUUUUGGACAGUGAUUUUAACCCUAACGCCAAAAACCUUAAACCUUACCAUAGGCCCAUAACCUAAUACCCGGGUAUUACUUUUAGGAAGCCUGAACACCCCAAAUAUAUUUUUUUAAUUUUUCAUUUUUUUUGGUCUAACUAAAUCCAAAAGGUUUUUAAAGAGUUCCUACAAAGGUUUUGGACAGUGAUUUUAAACCUAACGCCAAAAACUUUAAACCUUACCAUAGCCCCAUAACCUAAUACCCGGGUAUUACUUUUAGGAAGCCCGAACACCCCAAAUAUUUUUUUUUUCAUUUUUCAUAUUUUUUGGUCUAACUAACUCCAAAAGGUUGGAAAAGAGUUCCUACAAAGGUUUUGGACAGUGAUUUUAACCCUAACGCCAAAAAACUUAAACCUUACCCUGGCCUUAAAAUCUAAUACCCGGGUAUUACAUUCAGGAAGCCCGUAAACCCCAAAUAUUUUUUUUUCAUUUUUCAUUUUUUUUGGUCUAACUAACUCCAAAAGGUUGGAAAAGAGUUCCUACAAAGGUUUUGGACAGUGAUUUUAACCCUAACGCCAAAAACCUUAAACCUUACCAUAGCCCCAUAACCUAAUACCCGGGUAUUACUUUUAGGAAGCCUGAACACCCCAAAUAUUUUUUUUUCAUUUUUCUUUUUUUUUUGGUCUAACUAACUCCAAAAGGUUGGAAAAGAGUUCCUACAAAGGUUUUGGACAGUGAUUUUAACCCUAACGCCAAAAAACUUAAACCUUACCAUAGCCCCAAAACCUAAUACCCGGGUAUUACUUUCAGGAAGCCCGAAAACCCCCAAUAAUAUCUUUUUCUUUUUUCAUAUUUUUUGGUCUAACUAACUCCAAAAGGUUGGAAAAGAGUUCCUACAAAGGUUUUGGACAGUGAUUUUAACCCUAACGCCAAAAAACUUAAACCUUUCCCUGGCCUUAAAAUCUAAUACCCGGGUAUUACAUUCAGGAAGCCCGAAAACCCCAAAUAUUUUUUUUUCAUUUUUCAUUUUUUUUUUGGUCUAACUAACUCCAAAAGGUUGAAAAAGAGUUCCUACAAAGGUUUUGGACAGUGAUUUUAAACCUAACGCCAAAACGUUAAACCUUACCAUAGCCCCAUAACCUAAUACCCGGGUAUUACUUUUAGGAAGCCUGAACACCCCAAAUAUUUUUUUUUCAUUUUUCUUUUUUUUUUUUGGUCUAACUAACUCCAAAAGGUUGGAAAAGAGUUCCUACAAAGGUUUUGGACAGUGAUUUUAACCCUAAUGCCAAAACCCUUAAACCUUUCCCUAGUCCCAAAACCUAAUACAUGGGUAUUACUUUCAGGGAGCCCAAAAACCCCCAAUAAUAUUUUUUUCUUUUUUCAUAUUUUUUGGUCUAACUAACUCCAAAAGGUUGGAAAAGAGUUCCUACAAAGGUUUUGGACAGUGAUUUUAACCCUAACGCCAAAAACCUUAAACCUUACCCUAGCCUUGAAAUCUAAUACCCGGGUAUUACCUUCAGGAAGCCUGAACACCCCAAAUAUUUUUUUUUCAUUUUUCUUUUUUUUUUUGGUCUAACUAACUCCAAAAGGUUGGAAAAGAGUUCCUACAAAGGUUUUGGACAGUGAUUUUAACCCUAACGCCAAAAAACUUAAACCUUACCCUAGCCCCAAAACCUAAUACCCGGGUAUUACUUUCAGGGAGCCCGAAAACCCCCAAUAAUAUUUUUUUCUUUUUUCAUAUUUUUUGGUCUAACUAACUCCAAAAGGUUGGAAAAGAGUUCCUACAAAGGUUUUGGACAGUGAUUUUAACCCUAACGCCAAAAAACUUAAACCUUACCCUAGCCUUAAAAUCUAAUACCCGGGUAUUACAUUCAGGAAGCCCGAAAACCCCAAAUAUUGUUUUUUCAUUUUUCAUUUUUUUUUGGUCUAACUCCAAAAGGUUGGAAAAGAGUUCCUACAAAGGUUUUGGACAGUGAUUUUAACCCUAACGCCAAAAAACUUAAACCUUACCAUAGCCCCAAAACCUAAUACCCGGGUAUUACUUUCAGGGAGCCCGAAAACCCCCAAUAAUAUUUUUUUCUUUUUUCAUAUUUUUUGGUCUAACUAACUCCAAAAGGUUGGAAAAGAGUUCCUACAAAGGUUUUGGACAGUGAUUUUAACCCUAACGCCAAAAAACUUAAACCUUACCAUAGCCCCAAAACCUAAUACCCGGGUAUUACUUUCAGGGAGCCCGAAAACCCCCAAUAAUAUUUUUUCUUUUUUCAUAUUUUUUGGUCUAACUAACUCCAAAAGGUUGGAAAAGAGUUCCUACAAAGGUUUUGGACAGUGAUUUUAACCCUAACGCCAAAAAACUUAAACCUUUCCCUGGCCUUAAAAUCUAAUACCCGGGUAUUACAUUCAGGAAGCCCGUAAACCCCAAAUAUUUUUUUUUUCAUUUUUCUUUUUUUUUUUUUGGUCUAACUAACUCCAAAAGGUUGAAAAAGAGUUCCUACAAAGGUUUUGGACAGUGAUUUUAACCCUAACGCCAAAAACCUUAAACCUUACCAUAGCCCCAUAACCUAAUACCCGGGUAUUACUUUUAGGAAGCCUGAACACCCCAAAUAUAUUUUUUUUAAUUUUUCAUUUUUUUUUGGUCUAACUAACUCCAAAAGGUUGUUAAAGAGUUCCUACAAAGGUUUUGGACAGUGAUUUUAAACCUAACGCCAAAACGUUAAACCUUACCAUAGCCCCAUAACCUAAUACCCGGGUAUUACUUUUAGGAAGCCUGAACACCCCAAAUAUUUUUUUUUCAUUUUUCUUUUUUUUUUGGUCUAACUAACUCCAAAAGGUUGGAAAAGAGUUCCUACAAAGGUUUUGGACAGUGAUUUUAACCCUAACGCCAAAAAACUUAAACCUUACCAUAGCCCCAUAACCUAAUACCCGGGUAUUACUUUCAGGGAGCCCGAAAACCCCCAAUAAUAUUUUUUUCUUUUUUCAUAUUUUUUGGUCUAACUAACUCCAAAAGGUUGGAAAAGAGUUCCUACAAAGGUUUUGGACAGUGAUUUUAACCCUAACGCCAAAAAACUUAAACCUUACCAUAGCCCCAAAACCUAAUACCCGGGUAUUACUUUCAGGAACCCCGAAAACCCCCAAUAAUAUUUUUUUCUUUUUUCAUAUUUUUUGGUCUAACUAACUCCAAAAGGUUGGAAAAGAGUUCCUACAAAGGUUUUGGACAGUGAUUUUAACCCUAACGCCAAAAAACUUAAACCUUACCAUAGCCCCAUAACCUAAUACCCGGGUAUUACUUUUAGGAAGCCUGAACACCCCAAAUAUUUUUUUUUCAUUUUUCUUUUUUUUUUUUGGUCUAACUAACUCCAAAAGGUUGGAAAAGAGUUCCUACAAAGGUUUUGGACAGUGAUUUUAACCCUAACGCCAAAAAACUUAAACCUUACCAUAGCCCCAUAACCUAAUACCCGGGUAUUACUUUCAGGGAGCCCGAAAACCCCCAAUAAUAUUUUUUUCUUUUUUCAUACUUUUUGGUGUAACUAACUCCAAAAGGUUGGAAAAGAGUUCCUACAAAGGUUUUGGACAGUGAUUUUAACCCUGAUGCCAAAAAACUUAAACCUUACCCUAGCCUUAAAAUCUAAUACCCGGGUAUUACAUUCAGGAACCCCGAAAACCCCAAAUAUUGUUUUUUCAUUUUUCAUUUUUUUUUUGGUCUAACUAACUCCAAAAGGUUGGAAAAGAGUUCCUACAAAGGUUUUGGACAGUGAUUUUAACCCUAACGCCAAAAAACUUAAACCUUACCCUAGCCUUAAAACCUAAUACCUGGGUAUUACAUUCAGGAACCCCGAAAACCCCAAAUAUUGUUUUUUCAUUUUUCAUUUUUUUUUGGUCUAACUAACUCCAAAAGGUUGGAAAAGUGUUCCUACAAAGGUUUUGGACAGGGAUUUUAACCCUUAUGCCAAAAACCUUAAACCUUUCCCCAGUCCCAAAACCUAAUACCUGGGUAUUACCUUCAGGAAGCCCGAAAACCCCCAAUAAUAUUUUUUUCUUUUUUCAUAUUUUUUGGUCUAACUAACUCCAAAAGGUUGGAAAAGAGUUCCUACAAAGGUUUUGGACAGUGAUUUUAACCCUAACGCCAAAAAACUUAAACCUUACCAUAGCCCCAAAACCUAAUACCCGGGUAUUACUUUCAGGGAGCCCGAAAACCCCCAAUAAUAUUUUUUUCUUUUUUCAUACUUUUUGGUCUAACUAACUCCAAAAGGUUGGAAAAGAGUUCCUACAAAGGUUUUGGACAGUGAUUUUAACCCUAACGCCAAAAAACUUAAACCUUUCCCUGGCCUUAAAAUCUAAUACCCGGGUAUUACUUUCAGGAAGCCCGAAAACCCCAAAUAUUUUUUUUUUCAUUUUUCAUAUUUUUUUUGGUCUAACUAACUCCAAAAGGUUGGAAAAGAGUUCCUACAAAGGUUUUGGACAGUGAUUUUAACCCUAACGCCAAAAACCUUAAACCUUACCAUAGCCCCAUAACCUAAUACCCGGGUAUUACUUUUAGGAAGCCUGAACACCCCAAAUAUAUUUUUUUUCAUUUUUCAUUUUUUUUGGUCUAACUAACUCCAAAAGGUUGGAAAAGAGUUCCUACAAAGGUUUUGGACAGUGAUUUUAACCCUAACGCCAAAAAACUUAAACCUUACCAUAGCCCCAUAACCUAAUACCCGGGUAUUACUUUUAGGAAGCCUGAACACCCCAAAUAUUUUUUUUUCAUUUUUCAUAUUUUUUGGUCUAACUAACUCCAAAAGGUUGGAAAAGAGUUCCUACAAAGGUUUUGGACAGUGAUUUUAACCCUAACGCCAAAAAACUUAAACCUUACCCUGGCCUUAAAAUCUAAUACCCGGGUAUUACAUUCAGGAAGCCCGAAAACCCCAAAUAUUUUUUUUUUCAUUUUUCAUUUUUUUUUGGUCUAACUAACUCCAAAAGGUUGGAAAAGAGUUCCUACAAAGGUUUUGGACAGUGAUUUUAACCCUAACGCCAAAAACCUUAAACCUUACCAUAGCCCCAUAACCUAAUACCCGGGUAUUACUUUUAGGAAGCCUGAACACCCCAAAUAUUUUUUUUUCAUUUUUCUUUUUUUUUUGGUCUAACUAACUCCAAAAGGUUGGAAAAGAGUUCCUACAAAGGUUUUGGACAGUGAUUUUAACCCUAACGCCAAAAAACUUAAACCUUACCAUAGCCCCAAAACCUAAUACCCGGGUAUUACUUUCAGGGAGCCCGAAAACCCCCAAUAAUAUUUUUUUCUUUUUUCAUAUUUUUUGGUCUAACUAACUCCAAAAGGUUGGAAAAGAGUUCCUACAAAGGUUUUGGACAGUGAUUUUAAACCUAACGCCAAAACUUAAAACCUUACCAUAGCCCCAUAACCUAAUACCCGGGUAUUACUUUUAGGAAGCCUGAACACCCCAAAUAUUUUUUUUUUCAUUUUUCUUUUUUUUUGGUCUAACUAACUCCAAAAGGUUGGAAAAGAGUUCCUACAAAGGUUUUGGACAGUGAUUUUAACCCUAACGCCAAAAAACUUAAACCUUUCCCUAGCCUUAAAAUCUAAUACCCGGGUAUUACAUUCAGGAAGCCCGUAAACCCCAAAUAUUUUUUUUUCAUUUUUCAUUUUUUUUUUGGUCUAACUAACUCCAAAAGGUUGAAAAAGAGUUCCUACAAAGGUUUUGGACAGUGAUUUUAACCCUAACGCCAAAAACCUUAAACCUUACCAUAGCCCCAUAACCUAAUACCCGGGUAUUACUUUUAGGAAGCCCGAACAACCAAAAUAUAUAUUUUUUUCAUUUUACAUUUUUGUUGGUGUAACCAACUCCAAAAGGUUGGAAAAGAGUUCCUGCAAAGGUUUUGGACAGUGAUUUUAACCCUAAUGCCAAAAACCUUAAACCUUACCAUAGCCCCAUAACCUAAUACCCGGGUAUUCCCUUCAGGAAGCCCGAAAACCCCAUUUAUAUCUGUUUUCAUUUUACAUUUUUGUUGGUGUAACCAACUCCAAAAGGUUGGAAAAGAGUUCCUACAAAGGUUUUGGACAGUGAUUUUAACCCUAAUACCAAAAACCUUAAACCUUUCCAUAGCCCCAUAAUCUUAUACCCGGGUAUUACUUCUAGGAAGCCUGAACACCCCAAAUAUUUUUUUCUUCAUUUUACAUUUUCUUUGGUCUAACUAACUCCAAAAGGUUUGAAAGAAGUUCCUACAAAGGUUUUGGACAGUGAUUUUAACCCUAACGCCAAAAAACUUGAACCUUACUCUAGCCCCAUAACAUAAUACCCUUGUAUUACCUUCAGGAAGCCCGGAAACCCCAAAUAUUUUUGUUUUCAUUUUUCAUUCUUUUUUUGGUCUAACUAACUCCAAAAGGUUGGAAAAGAGUUCCUACAAAGGUUUUGGACAGUGAUUUUAAACCUAACGCCAAAACCUUAAACCUUACCAUAGCCCCAUAACCUAAUACCCGGGUAUUACUUUUAGGAAGCCUGAACACCCCAAAUAUAUAUUUUUUUCAUUUUACAUUUUUGUUGGUGUAACCAACUCCAAAAGGUUGGAAAAGAGUUCCUACAAAGGUUUUGGACAGUGAUUUUAACCCUAAUGCCAAAAACCUUAAACCUUACCCUAGCCUUAAAAUCUAAUACCCGGGUAUUACCUUCAGGAAGCCCGAACACCCCAAAUAUUUUUUUUUCAUUUUACAUUUUUGUUGGUGUAACCAACUCCAAAAGGUUGGAAAAGAGUUCCUACAAAGGUUUUGGACAGUGAUUUUAACCCUAACGCCAAAAAACUUAAACCUUACCCUAGCCUUAAAAUCUAAUACCCGGGUAUUACAUUCAGGAAGCCCGAAAACCCCAAAUUUAUAUUUUUUCAUUUUUCUUUUUUUUUUGGUUUAACUAACUCCAAAAGGUUGGAAAAGAGUUCCUACAAAGGUUUUGGACAGUGAUUUUAACCCUAACGCCAAAAAACUUAAACCUUACCCUAGCCUUAAUAUCUAAUACCCGGGUAUUACAUUCAGGAAGCCCGAAAACCCCAAAUAUAUAUUUUUUCUUUUUUCAUAUUUUUUGGUCUAACUAACUCCAAAAGGUUGGAAAAGAGUUCCUACAAAGGUUUUGGACAGUGAUUUUAACCCUUAUGCCAAAAAACUUAAACCUUACCCUAGCCACAAAACCUAAUACCUGGGUAUUACUUUUAGGAAGCCUGAACUCCCCAAAUAUUUUUUUUUCAUUUUUCUUUUUUUUUUGGUCAAACUAACUCCAAAAGGUUGGAAAAGAGUUCCUACAAAGGUUUUGGACAGUGAUUUUAACCCUAACGCCAAAAACCUUAAACCUUUCCCCAGUCCCAAAACCUAAUACCUGGGUAUUACCUUCAGGAAGCCCGAAAACCCACAAUAAUAUUUUUUUCUUUUUUCAUAUUUUUUGGUCUAACCAACUCCAAAAGGUUGGAAAAGAGUUCCUACAAAGGUUUUGGACAGUGAUUUUAACCCUAACGCCAAAAAACUUAAACCUUACCCUAGCCUUAAAAUCUAAUACCCGGGUAUUACAUUCAGGAAGCCCGAAAACCCCAAAUUUAUAUUUUUUCAUUUUUCUUUUUUUUUUGGUUUAACUAACUCCAAAAGGUUGGAAAAGAGUUCCUACAAAGGUUUUGGACAGUGAUUUUAACCCUAACGCCAAAAAACUUAAACCUUACCCUAGCCUUAAUAUCUAAUACCCGGGUAUUACAUUCAGGAAGCCCGAAAACCCCAAAUAUAUAUUUUUUCAUUUUUCAUAUUUUUUGGUCUAACUAACUCCAAAAGGUUGGAAAAGAGUUCCUACAAAGGUUUUGGACAGUGAUUUUAACCCUAACGCCAAAAAACUUAAACCUUACCCUAGCCACAAAAACUAAUACCUGGGUAUUACUUUUAGGAAGCCUGAAAACCCCCAAAUAUUUUUUUUCAUUUUUCUUUUUUUUUUUGGUCAAACUAACUCCAAAAGGUUGGAAAAGAGUUCCUACAAAGGUUUUGGACAGUGAUUUUAACCCUAACGCCAAAAACCUUAAACCUUUCCCCAGUCCCAAAACCUAAUACCUGGGUAUUACCUUCAGGAAGCCCGAAAACCCACAAUAAUAUUUUUUUCUUUUUUCAUAUUUUUUGGUCUAACUAACUCCAAAAGGUUGGAAAAGAGUUCCUACAAAGGUUUUGGACAGUGAUUUUAACCCUAACGCCAAAAACCUUAAACCUUACCAUAGCCCCAUAACCUAAUACCCGGGUAUUACUUUUAGGAAGCCUGAACACCCCAAAUAUUUUUUUUUUCAUUUUUCUUUUUUUUUUUGGUCUAACUAACUCCAAAAGGUUGGAAAAGAGUUCCUACAAAGGUUUUGGACAGUGAUUUUAACCCUAAUGCCAAAAAACUUAAACCUUACCCUGGCCUUAAAAUCUAAUACCCGGGUAUUACAUUCAGGAAGCCCGAACACCCCAAAUAUUUUUUUUUUCAUUUUACAUUUUUUUUGGUCUAACUAACUCCAAAAGGUUGGAAAAGAGUUCCUACAAAGGUUUUGGACAGUGAUUUUAACCCUAAUGCCAAAAAACUUAAACCUUACCCUAGCCUUAAAAUCUAAUACCCGGGUAUUACAUUCAGGAAGCCCGUAAACCCCAAAUAUUUUUUUUUCAUUUUUCAUUCUUUUUUUGGUCUAACUAACUCCAAAAGGUUGGAAAAGAGUUCCUACAAAGGUUUUGGACAGUGAUUUUAAACCUAACGCCAAAACGUUAAACCUUACCAUAGCCCCAUAACCUAAUACCCGGGUAUUACUUUUAGGAAGCCUGAACACCCCCAAUAAUAUUUUUUUCUUUUUUCAUAUUUUUUGGUCUUACUAACUCCAAAAGGUUGGAAAAGAGUUCCUACAAAGGUUUUGGACAGUGAUUUUAACCCUAACGCCAAAAAACUUAAACCUUACCAUAGCCCCAAAACCUAAUACCCGGGUAUUACUUUCAGGGAGCCCGAAAACCCCCAAUAAUAUUUUUUUCUUUUUUCAUAUUUUUUGGUCUAACUAACUCCAAAAGGUUGGAAAAGAGUUCCUACAAAGGUUUUGGACAGUGAUUUUAACCCUAACGCCAAAAAACUUAAACCUUUCCCUGGCCUUAAAAUCUAAUACCCGGGUAUUACAUUCAGGAAGCCCGUAAACCCCAAAUAUUUUUUUUUUCAUUUUUCAUUUUUUUUUGGUCUAACUAACUCCAAAAGGUUGGAAAAGAGUUCCUACAAAGGUUUUGGACAGUGAUUUUAACCCUAACGCCAAAAAACUUAAACCUUACCAUAGCCCCAUAACCUAAUACCCGGGUAUUACUUUUAGGAAGCCUGAACACCCCAAAUAUAUUUUUUUUCAUUUUUCUUUUUUUUUUUGGUCUAACUAACUCCAAAAGGUUGGAAAAGAGUUCCUACAAAGGUUUUGGACAGUGAUUUUAACCCUAACGCCAAAAAACUUAAACCUUACCAUAGCCCCAAAACCUAAUACCCGGGUAUUACUUUCAGGGAGCCCGAAAACCCCCAAUAAUAUUUUUUUCUUUUUUCAUAUUUUUUGGUCUAACUAACUCCAAAAGGUUGGAAAAGAGUUCCUACAAAGGUUUUGGACAGUGAUUUUAACCCUAACGCCAAAAAACUUAAACCUUACCAUAGCCCCAAAACCUAAUACCCGGGUAUUACUUUCAGGGAGCCCGAAAACCCCCAAUAAUAUUUUUUUCUUUUUUCAUAUUUUUUGGUCUAACUAACUCCAAAAGGUUGGAAAAGAGUUCCUACAAAGGUUUUGGACAGUGAUUUUAACCCUAACGCCAAAAAACUUAAACCUUUCCCUGGCCUUAAAAUCUAAUACCCGGGUAUUACAUUCAAGAAGCCCGUAAACCCCAAAUAUAUUUUUUUUAAUUUUUCAUUUUUUUUUGGUCUUACUAAAUCCAAAAGGUUGUUAAAGAGUUCCUACAAAGGUUUUGGACAGUGAUUUUAAACGUAACGCCAAAACGUUAAACCUUACCAUAGCCCCAUAACCUAAUACCCGGGUAUUACUUUUAAGAAGCCUGAACACCCCCAAUAAUAUUUUUUUCUUUUUUCAUAUUUUUUGGUCUAACUAACUCCAAAAGGUUGGAAAAGAGUUCCUACAAAGGUUUUGGACAGUGAUUUUAACCCUAACGCCAAAAAACUUAAACCUUACCAUAGCCCCAAAACCUAAUACCCGGGUAUUACUUUCAGGGAGCCCGAAAAACCCCCAAUAAUAUUUUUUUCUUUUUUCAUAUUUUUUGGUCUAACUAACUCCAAAAGGUUGGAAAAGAGUUCCUACAAAGGUUUUGGACAGUGAUUUUAACCCUAACGCCAAAAAACUUAAACCUUACCAUAGCCCCAAAACCUAAUACCCGGGUAUUACUUUCAGGGAGCCCGAAAACCCCCAAUAAUAUUUUUUUCUUUUUUCAUACUUUUUGGUCUAACUAACUCCAAAAGGUUGGAAAAGAGUUCCUACAAAGGUUUUGGACAGUGAUUUUAACCCUAACGCCAAAAAACUUAAACCUUACCCUAGCCUUAAAAUCUAAUACCCGGGUAUUACAUUCAGGAACCCAGAAAACCCCAAAUAUUGUUUUUUCAUUUUUCAUUUUUUUUUGGUCUAACUAACUCCAAAAGGUUGGAAAAGAGUUCCUACAAAGGUUUUGGACAGUGAUUUUAACCCUAACGCCAAAAAACUUAAACCUUACCAUAGCCCCAAAACCUAAUACCCGGGUAUUACAUUCAGGAACCCAGAAAACCCCCAAAUAUUGUUUUUUCAUUUUUCAUUUUUUUUUGGUCUAACUAACUCCAAAAGGUUGGAAAAGAGUUCCUACAAAGGUUUUGGACAGUGAUUUUAACCCUAACGCCAAAAAACUUAAACCUUACCAUAGCCCCAAAACCUAAUACCCGGGUAUUACUUUCAGGGAGCCCGAAAAACCCCCAAUAAUAUUUUUUUCUUUUUUCAUAUUUUUUGGUCUAACUAACUCCAAAAGGUUGGAAAAGAGUUCCUACAAAGGUUUUGGACAGUGAUUUUAACCCUAACGCCAAAAAACUUAAACCUUACCAUAGCCCCAAAACCUAAUACCCGGGUAUUACUUUCAGGGAGCCCGAAAACCCCCAAUAAUAUUUUUUCUUUUUUCAUACUUUUUGGUCUAACUAACUCCAAAAGGUUGGAAAAGAGUUCCUACAAAAGUUUUGGACAGUGAUUUUAACCCUAAUGCCAAAAAACUUAAACCUUACCCUAGCCUUAAAAUCUAAUACCCGGGUAUUACAUUCAGGAACCCAGAAAACCCCAAAUAUUGUUUUUUCAUUUUUCAUUUUUUUUUGGUCUAACUAACUCCAAAAGGUUGGAAAAGAGUUCCUACAAAGGUUUUGGACAGUGAUUUUAACCCUAACGCCAAAAAACUUAAACCUUACCAUAGCCCCAAAACCUAAUACCCGGGUAUUACUUUCAGGGAGCCCGAAAACCCCCAAUAAUAUUUUUUUCUUUUUUCAUAUUUUUUGGUCUAACUAACUCCAAAAGGUUGGAAAAGAGUUCCUACAAAGGUUUUGGACAGUGAUUUUAACCCUAACGCCAAAAAACUUAAACCUUACCAUAGCCCCAAAACCUAAUACCCGGGUAUUACUUUCAGGGAGCCCGAAAACCCCCAAUAAUAUUUUUUUCUUUUUUCAUAUUUUUUGGUCUAACUAACUCCAAAAGGUUGGAAAAGAGUUCCUACAAAGGUUUUGGACAGUGAUUUUAACCCUAACGCCAAAAAACUUAAACCUUACCAUAGCCCCAUAACCUAAUACCCGGGUAUUACUUUUAGGAAGCCUGAACACCCCAAAUAUUUUUUUUUCAUUUUUCUUUUUUUUUUUUUGGUCUAACUAACUCCAAAAGGUUGGAAAAGAGUUCCUACAAAGGUUUUGGACAGUGAUUUUAACCCUAAUGCCAAAAAACUUAAACCUUACCCUAGCCUUAAAAUCUAAUACCCGGGUAUUACAAUCAGGAAGCCCGUAAACCCCAAAUAUUUUUUUUUUCAUUUUUCAUUUUUUUGGUCUAACUAACUCCAAAAGGUUGGAAAAGAGUUCCUACAAAGGUUUUGGACAGUGAUUUUAACCCUAACGCCAAAAACCUUAAACCUUACCAUAGCCCCAUAACCUAAUACCCGGGUAUUACUUUCAGGAAGCCUGAACACCCCAAAUAUAUUUUUUUUAAUUUUUCAUUUUUUUUGGUCUAACUAACUCCAAAAGGUUGGAAAAGAGUUCCUACAAAGGUUUUGGACAGUGAUUUUAACCCUAACGCCAAAAACCUUAAACCUUACCAUAGCCCCAUAACCUAAUACCCGGGUAUUACUUUUAGGAAGCCUGAACACCCCAAAUAUUUUUUUUUCAUUUUUCAUAUUUUUUGGUCUAACUAACUCCAAAAGGUUGGAAAAGAGUUCCUACAAAGGUUUUGGACAGUGAUUUUAACCCUAACGCCAAAAAACUUAAACCUUUCCAUAGUCCCAAAACCUAAUACCUGGGUAUUACUUUAGGAAGCCUGAACACCCCAAAUAUUUUUUUUUCAUUUUUCUUUUUUUUUUGGUCUAACUAACUCCAAAAGGUUGGAAAAGAGUUCCUACAAAGGUUUUGGACAGUGAUUUUAACCCUAACGCCAAAAAACUUAAACCUUACCCUAGCCUUAAAAUCUAAUACCCGGGUAUUACAUUCAGGAAGCCCGAACACCCCAAAUAUUUUUUUUUUCAUUUUACAUUUUUUUUGGUCUAACUAACUCCAAAAGGUUGGAAAAGAGUUCCUACAAAGGUUUUGGACAGUGAUUUUAACCCUAAUGCCAAAAAACUUAAACCUUACCCUAGCCUUAAAAUCUAAUACCCGGGUAUUACAUUCAGGAAGCCCGUAAACCCCAAAUAUUUUUUUUUCAUUUUUCAUUUUUUUUUUGGUCUAACUAACUCCAAAAGGUUGGAAAAGAGUUCCUACAAAGGUUUUGGACAGUGAUUUUAAACCUAACGCCAAAAACCUUAAACCUUACCAUAGCCCCAUAACCUAAUACCCGGGUAUUACUUUUAGGAAGCCUGAACACCCCCAAUAAUAUUUUUUUCUUUUUUCAUAUUUUUUGGUCUAACUAACUCCAAAAGGUUGGAAAAGAGUUCCUACAAAGGUUUUGGACAGUGAUUUUAACCCUAACGCCAAAAAACUUAAACCUUACCAUAGCCCCAAAACCUAAUACCCGGGUAUUACUUUCAGGGAGCCCGAAAACCCCCAAUAAUAUUUUUUUCUUUUUUCAUAUUUUUUGGUCUAACUAACUCCAAAAGGUUGGAAAAGAGUUCCUACAAAGGUUUUGGACAGUGAUUUUAACCCUAACGCCAAAAAACUUAAACCUUUCCCUGGCCUUAAAAUCUAAUACCCGGGUAUUACAUUCAGGAAGCCCGAAACCCCAAAUAUUUUUUUUCAUUUUUCAUUUUUUUUUUGGUCUAACUAACUCCAAAAGGUUGAAAAAGAGUUCCUACAAAGGUUUUGGACAGUGAUUUUAACCCUAACGCCAAAAACCUUAAACCUUACCAUAGCCCCAUGACCUAAUACCCGGGUAUUACUUUUAGGAAGCCUGAACACCCCAAAUAUAUUUUUUUUCAUUUUUCUUUUUUUUUUUGGUCUAACUAACUCCAAAAGGUUGGAAAAGAGUUCCUACAAAGGUUUUGGACAGUGAUUUUAACCCUAACGCCAAAAAACUUAAACCUUACCAUAGCCCCAAAACCUAAUACCCGGGUAUUACUUUCAGGGAGCCCGAAAACCCCCAAUAAUAUUUUUUUCUUUUUUCAUAUUUUUUGGUCUAACUAACUCCAAAAGGUUGGAAAAGAGUUCCUACAAAGGUUUUGGACAGUGAUUUUAACCCUAACGCCAAAAAACUUAAACCUUACCAUAGCCCCAAAACCUAAUACCCGGGUAUUACUUUCAGGGAGCCCGAAAACCCCCAAUAAUAUUUUUUUCUUUUUUCAUAUUUUUUGGUCUAACUAACUCCAAAAGGUUGGAAAAGAGUUCCUACAAAGGUUUUGGACAGUGAUUUUAACCCUAACGCCAAAAAACUUAAACCUUUCCCUGGCCUUAAAAUCUAAUACCCGGGUAUUACAUUCAAGAAGCCCGUAAACCCCAAAUAUAUUUUUUUUCAUUUUUCAUUUUUUUUUGGUCUUACUAAAUCCAAAAGGUUGUUAAAGAGUUCCUACAAAGGUUUUGGACAGUGAUUUUAAACGUAACGCCAAAACGUUAAACCUUACCAUAGCCCCAUAACCUAAUACCCGGGUAUUACUUUUAAGAAGCCUGAACACCCCCAAUAAUAUUUUUUUCUUUUUUCAUAUUUUUUGGUCUAACUAACUCCAAAAGGUUGGAAAAGAGUUCCUACAAAGGUUUUGGACAGUGAUUUUAACCCUAACGCCAAAAAACUUAAACCUUACCAUAGCCCCAAAACCUAAUACCCGGGUAUUACUUUCAGGGAGCCCGAAAACCCCCAAUAAUAUUUUUUUCUUUUUUCAUACUUUUUGGUCUAACUAACUCCAAAAGGUUGGAAAAGAGUUCCUACAAAAGUUUUGGACAGUGAUUUUAACCCUAAUGCCAAAAAACUUAAACCUUACCCUAGCCUUAAAAUCUAAUACCCGGGUAUUACAUUCAGGAACCCAGAAAACCCCAAAUAUUGUUUUUUCAUUUUUCAUUUUUUUUUGGUCUAACUAACUCCAAAAGGUUGGAAAAGAGUUCCUACAAAGGUUUUGGACAGUGAUUUUAACCCUAACGCCAAAAAACUUAAACCUUACCAUAGCCCCAAAACCUAAUACCCGGGUAUUACUUUCAGGGAGCCCGAAAACCCCCAAUAAUAUUUUUUUCUUUUUUCAUAUUUUUUGGUCUAACUAACUCCAAAAGGUUGGAAAAGAGUUCCUACAAAGGUUUUGGACAGUGAUUUUAACCCUAACGCCAAAAACCUUAAACCUUACCAUAGCCCCAAAACCUAAUACCCGGGUAUUACUUUCAGGAGCCCGAAAACCCCCAAAUAUUUUUUUUUCUUUUUUCAUAUUUUUUGGUCUAACUAACUCCAAAAGGUUGGAAAAGAGUUCCUACAAAGGUUUUGGACAGUGAUUUUAACCCUAACGCCAAAAAACUUAAACCUUACUAUAGCCCCAUAACCUAAUACCUGGGUAUUACUUUCAGGAAGCCUGAACACCCCAAAUAUUUUUUUUUCAUUUUUCUUUUUUUUUUGGUCUAACUAACUCCAAAAGGUUGGAAAAGAGUUCCUACAAAGGUUUUGGACAGUGAUUUUAACCCUAACGCCAAAAAACUUAAACCUUACCCUAGCCUUAAAAUCUAAUACCCGGGUAUUACAUUCAGGAAGCCCGAACACCCCAAAUAUAUUUUUUUUUCAUUUUACAUUUUUUUUGUUGUAACCAACUCCAAAAGGUUGGAAAAGAGUUCCUACAAAGGUUUUGGACAGUGAUUUUAACCCUAACGCCAAAAACCUUAAACCUUACCAUAGCCCUAUAACCUAAUACCCAGGUAUUACUUUUAGGAAGCCUGAACACCCCAAAUAUUUUUUUUUCAUUUUUCUUUUUUUUUUUUGGUCUAACUAACUCCAAAAGGUUGGAAAAGAGUUCCUACAAAGGUUUUGGACAGUGAUUUUAACCCUAACGCCAAAAAACUUAAACCUUACCCUGGCCUUAAAAUCUAAUACCCGGGUAUUACAUUCAUGAAGCCCGUAAACCCCAAAUAUUUUUUUUUUCAUUUUUCAUUUUUAUUUUGGUCUAACUAACUCCAAAAGGUUGGAAAAGAGUUCCUACAAAGGUUUUGGACAGUGAUUUUAACCCUAACGCCAAAAACCUUAAACCUUACCAUAGCCCCAUAACCUAAUACCCGGGUAUUACAUUCAGGAAGCCCGUAAACCCCAAAUAUUUUUUUUUUCAUUUUUCAUUUUUUUUUUGGUCUAACUAACUCCAAAAGGUUGAAAAAGAGUUCCUACAAAGGUUUUGGACAGUGAUUUUAACCCUAACGCCAAAAACCUUAAACCUUACCAUAGCCCCAUGAACCUAAUACCCGGGUAUUACUUUUAGGAAGCCUGAACACCCCAAAUAUUUUUUUUUCAUUUUUCUUUUUUUUUUUGGUCUAACUAACUCCAAAAGGUUGGAAAAGAGUUCCUACAAAGGUUUUGGACAGUGAUUUUAACCCUAACGCCAAAAACUUAAACCUUUCCCUGGCCUUAAAAUCUAAUACCCGGGUAUUACAUUCAGGAAGCCCGUAAACCCCAAAUAUUUUUUUUUUCACUUUUCAUUUUUUUUUUUGGUCUAACUAACUCCAAAAGGUUGGAAAAGAGUUCCUACAAAGGAUUUGGACAGUGAUUUUAACCCUAACGCCAAAAAACUUAAACCUUUCCCUGGCCUUAAAAUCUAAUACCCGGGUAUUACAUUCAGGAAGCCCGUAAACCCCAAAUAUUUUUUUUUUCAUUUUUCAUUUUUUUUUUGGUCUAACUAACUCCAAAAGGUUGGAAAAGAGUUCCUACAAAGGUUUUGGACAGUGAUUUUAACCCUAACGCCAAAAACCUUAAACCUUACCAUAGCCCCAUAACCUAAUACCCGGGUAUUACUUUUAGGAAGCCUGAACACCCCAAAUAUAUUUUUUUUAAUUUUUCUUUUUUUUUUUGGUCUAACUAAAUCCAAAAGGUUGGAAAAGAGUUCCUACAAAGGUUUUGGACAGUGAUUUUAAACCUAACGCCAAAACGUUAAACCUUACCAUAGCCCCAUAACCUAAUACCCGGGUAUUACUUUUAGGAAGCCUGAACACCCCCAAUAAUAUUUUUUUCUUUUUUUAUAUUUUUUGGUCUUACUAACUCCAAAAGGUUGGAAAAGAGUUCCUACAAAGGUUUUGGACAGUGAUUUUAACCCUAACGCCAAAAAACUUAAACCUUACCAUAGCCCCAAAACCUAAUACCCGGGUAUUACUUUCAGGGAGCCCGAAAACCCCCAAUAAUAUUUUUUUCUUUUUUCAUAUUUUUUGGUCUAACUAACUCCAAAAGGUUGGAAAAGAGUUCCUACAAAGGUUUUGGACAGUGAUUUUAACCCUAACGCCAAAAAACUUAAACCUUUCCCUAGCCUUAAAAUCUAAUACCCGGGUAUUACAUUCAGGAAGCCCGUAAACCCCAAAUAUUUUUUUUUUCAUUUUUCAUUUUUUUUUUGGUCUAACUAACUCCAAAAGGUUGGAAAAGAGUUCCUACAAAGGUUUUGGACAGUGAUUUUAACCCUAACGCCAAAAAACUUAAACCUUACCAUAGCCCCAUAACCUAAUACCCGGGUAUUACUUUUAGGAAGCCUGAACACCCCAAAUAUUUUUUUUUCAUUUUUCUUUUUUUUUUGGUCUAACUAACUCCAAAAGGUUGGAAAAGAGUUCCUACAAAGGUUUUGGACAGUGAUUUUAACCCUAAUGCCAAAAAACUUAAACCUUACCCUAGCCUUAAAAUCUAAUACCCGGGUAUUACAUUCAGGAAGCCCGAACACCCCAAAUAUUUUUUUUUUUCAUUUUACAUUUUUUUUGGUGUAACCAACUCCAAAAGGUUGGAAAAGAGUUCCUACAAAGGUUUUGGACAGUGAUUUUAACCCUAACGCCAAAAACCUUAAACCUUACCAUAGCCCUAUAACCUAAUACCCAGGUAUUACUUUUAGGAAGCCUGAACACCCCAAAUAUUUUUUUUUCAUUUUUCUUUUUUUUUUUUGGUCUAACUAACUCCAAAAGGUUGGAAAAGAGUUCCUACAAAGGUUUUGGACAGUGAUUUUAACCCUAACGCCAAAAAACUUAAACCUUACCAUAGCCCCAAAACCUAAUUCCCGGGUAUUACUUUCAGGGAGCCCGAAAACCCCCAAUAAUAUUUUUUUCUUUUUUCAUAUUUUUUGGUCUAACUAACUCCAAAAGGUUGGAAAAGAGUUCCUACAAAGGUUUUGGACAGUGAUUUUAACCCUAACGCCAAAAAACUUAAACCUUACCAUAGCCCCAAAACCUAAUACCCGGGUAUUACUUUCAGGAGCCCGAAAACCCCCAAUAAUAUUUUUUUCUUUUUUCAUACUUUUUGGUCUAACUAACUCCAAAAGGUUGGAAAAGAGUUCCUACAAAGGUUUUGGACAGUGAUUUUAACCCUAACGCCAAAAAACUUAAACCUUACCAUAGCCCCAAAACCUAAUACCCGGGUAUUACUUUCAGGGAGCCCGAAAACCCCCAAUAAUAUUUUUUCUUUUUUCAUAUUUUUUGGUCUAACUAACUCCAAAA
Molecule: long non-coding RNA, 23304 nt
Filed under: Xyrichtys novacula (pearly razorfish)
Lineage: Eukaryota; Metazoa; Chordata; Actinopteri; Labriformes; Labridae
Source: RNAcentral